GGCGAACGGGUGCGUAACACGUGAGCGACCUCGCCCUUCCGGCGGGGGAGUAGCCGGGCCAACGCCCGGGUAAUACCGCAUACGUUCUUUCUGGGGCAUCCCGGGAAGAAGAAACUUCCGGGGCGGAGGGAGGGGCUCGCGGCCUAUCAGCUAGUUGGGGGGGUAACGGCCUACCAAGGCAUCGACGGGUAGCUGGUCUGAGAGGAUGAUCAGCCACACUGGGACUGAGACACGGCCCAG
This 240-nucleotide ribosomal RNA is filed under the name uncultured bacterium. RNAcentral describes it as "partial 16S ribosomal RNA". It matches the Rfam family "Bacterial small subunit ribosomal RNA", at positions 97 to 334 of the family's 1533-position model. The record is from RNAcentral.